CAGCCGCCGCGGUAAUACAGAGGGUGCGAGCGUUAAUCGGAUUUACUGGGCGUAAAGCGUGCGUAGGCGGCUUCUUAAGUCGGAUGUGAAAUCCCUGAGCUUAACUUAGGAAUUGCAUUCGAUACUGGGAAGCUAGAGUAUGGGAGAGGAUGGUAGAAUUCCAGGUGUAGCGGUGAAAUGCGUAGAGAUCUGGAGGAAUACCGAUGGCGAAGGCAGCCAUCUGGCCUAAUACUGACGCUGAGGUACGAAAGCAUGUGGAGCAAACAGGAUUAGAUACCCCUGUAGUCCCUGUCUCUUAUAC
Molecule: ribosomal RNA, 301 nt
Filed under: uncultured bacterium
Lineage: Bacteria
Description: partial 16S ribosomal RNA
Rfam family: Bacterial small subunit ribosomal RNA
Source: RNAcentral